Non-coding RNA from Ictidomys tridecemlineatus (thirteen-lined ground squirrel), 497 nucleotides. Lineage: Eukaryota; Metazoa; Chordata; Mammalia; Rodentia; Sciuridae. The record is from RefSeq and is a predicted model, not a curated record.
UGAGGAGGUCAUUAAGCCUGCCUUGGACACUGUCCAUCCUGUCUGCCUGAGCCCUCUGGGGGAGUAUCUUUUCAAAGAUCAGCUGGCUUCUACCCGUUCUCUUCAUUGGUGAGUGCUGAGAAGGGGAGGGGAUCCCUCUUCCCACCUGCCACCCUCAUUCUGUGUCAAGAGGGAAAGAUGGCCAGUCUGUUGGUCCCAGCUUAACAAGCCCCGAGGCUGCGAAUGCUGCUAAAGCAGCUUGCUCCUCGUGGGCCUUCACAGCUAAGCCAUGCCCUCCAGUCCAGCGUUGAUCUCAGUUCUGCAUUGGAAGAGUCACGAAUCUGAAGACCUGAGGAGCAUGUCGUCACUUUUCAAUCGACCACCAGAUUUUGGGUUUCACUGUAAAAUGGCUGCUGUGGUUUGGAUAUAAAUCGUUUCCCCAAAGUGUCUGUGUUAAUGCAGGAGGGGAAAUGGCUAGAUUAUAAGAGUUGAGACAUAGUAAGUCCAUCCUAAUUCAA